GGAGUUGUAGCUCAGUGGCAGAGCACUUGCCUUGUACAUGUGAGGCACUGGGUUCGAUUCCCAGCACCA
Molecule: transfer RNA, 69 nt
Filed under: Ictidomys tridecemlineatus (thirteen-lined ground squirrel)
Lineage: Eukaryota; Metazoa; Chordata; Mammalia; Rodentia; Sciuridae
Description: Spermophilus tridecemlineatus (thirteen-lined ground squirrel) tRNA
Rfam family: tRNA
About the family: Transfer RNA (tRNA) molecules are approximately 80 nucleotides in length.
Source: Rfam by way of RNAcentral